RNAcentral lists this unclassified non-coding RNA (3784 nucleotides) under Leishmania donovani. RNAcentral describes it as "gene:LdHU3.33.1680(CDS-product:Protein_prenyltran sferase_alpha_subunit_repeat_putative)". Lineage: Eukaryota; Euglenozoa; Kinetoplastea; Trypanosomatida; Trypanosomatidae. The record is from RNAcentral.
CGACGCGAUCGCCAAGGUGAUUGUCAUUCGGUCGAGCAGCCACUCACGUCACAAUCAUUAAUCGAGAUAAAUAAAGUUGAAGAAAGCGAGCAAUGGGGUGCAGCGCUUCCAAGAGCAAGGAGGUCAGGCGUAGCGGGAAGCCAGGGGCUUCGGCCGCUACCGCCAGCAGCCCUAUUGGCGCGAGUGCCAACGGCGCCCGCGCUCAAAAGCCCACUGCUGAAACAGCGCCUGCGCCCCCUGCGCAGCCCAACCAAAAUGGUACCACGUUGCCAGCGAACAAGUCGCCUAGCAGCCACUCAGUGGAGGCCCCAUCUGGUCGUGCGGCCGACGCUAACCAUGACAACAAAAGCACCAACGUGGAUUCGACUGAGGCGCCCGACAAGGGCCCGCGUCAAAACGGCGCUGGAUUGGGCAACGGCGAUGUGGACGAGAACGGCAACGCUGUUUUGUUGCCAAAGGGCGUCUGGGUCAAGACGGAGGGAACACCCUACUACUACUGCCUCGAGGAGAACCUAUACUUCCACCCGCCUAGCUGCCAAUUCUACGACCCCACAAACGAGAUGUGGUACGACCCGGAUAAGGAUGAGUGGUACCGCGACGAUGGCUCGGAUGCCGAGGCUGCUUAGGCGUGCGCGGUGACCUUUUUUUUUUCGUUCGACAAGGUAAAUCGAGAAGAAUACGAACUAGUAGACUGUAGCUGAUGUGUAUGUGUGUGUGUGCAACGAUGAGCAAGCUUGUAGGGACACUGCAAGGACACGGCUGUGUGUGUGUAUGCAUGAAAAGCACGGCCAUCAGUAAGAGAUGGAAGAACGCUUGCUUCUGUGAACUUCUCCCAGAAGUCUGGCGCUGCGACAACAGCAAAGGGAAGGCGGUCUCUCGCACCGGAAAGCGGCGUGCGAAGAAGUCUGCGUGGCGUGGGCGCGUGUAUCGAAAGUAAGCGAAGACUCUCUCCUUUUGCCUGGAGGGCUCACUUGGGUGGAGAGAACAGGCAACCAGAAAAAGGGAUGGAAAACGCCGUCUGCCCCCUGAGGCCGUUCCCUGCUCCACUCACCCACCACCACUCCUCCCCCUCCAUGUCACCAUGGGUGUUUGGCGAAGCACGGAGGUAGGAUGGAAGGACCCAAAAGAGCACUGCCUCACCUCCUCAUGACAUCCUUCCUUCCUCCCUCUCAAAGAGAAAGUGAGGCGGCUGUUCUUCUCGCUGCUCUUGCAGAGUCAGAGGCUCAUUUCUUUUUUUUUGCAUUCACUUUAUGGGCGCUUUUCUUUCCGUGUACAUGCUCGUCGCCACCUCGAUCUGACUUGAUCCUUGCACUAAGCCAGACGAGCGCGCGCCCUGCUGUAUCGGCGUUGGUCAUUUUUCGUGCAUCAAGUGCUCCGUAGCUACACAUAUCGCUCAUCAGCAUCCUUUGUCUCCUCGCUUAGUCGUCCUCUCUGGUAUUUUUUUUUGGCGUCUUUCUCUCCGUGUCUCGGUAGCUUGAAGAAUAAAGUGCAGUGCGUACGGGUACUUAUUCGUGUUGGUGUGUCGGUGUAGCUGCCGCCAUGCGCCUUGCUGUUGACGUUCAUGGCUCACCUCCACACCCUUACAUUGUACCCGCACAGUUACUGUCAGCGUGUCUGUUUCUGCGCGUGAGGGGGCAUGUAUGCCGCUCAGUGUCUUUGUCUAUGAAUGUACUAGAACUCCUUUUUCUUCCCUCCCCUCCCCUCUCCCGGUUCGAGUGUCGAUUGAGGCAAGUGCCGCGGAUGUGCACGCGCAACUACACAUGAUAUAUAUAUAUAUUAUACAUAUAUAUAUACAUAUAUACACAUAUAUAUAUAACGUAUCUCCGCCCUUUAUGUAUAUGAGCGGGAACGAAAGAGAAGGAAAAGCACGGCUAUCAAACAGCGCAGGGGACGUGCACGCAGAAACAGAACAGAGAAGAAAUGAAAAAGGGAGAACAAGGUGACAAGAAGGAGCCAGCAAUGGGAAAGAACACGGUUUUAUAAAGUUCAACACGCAGGCACGCCCACGAAUAGAAGUGUUCACGCGAAGAAGAAACCGACAACACCCAGACAGGUGGAUGCGCAUAUCUCCUCUCUAGUCGGUGGGCUCGUGUACAGAUGUGCGUGUGCGUGUCGUCGCCCACACACACACAGAUACCGCUCCCCCUUCUAGUUCUUUUUCUUCGUCAUUUCACUCUGUUUCAUUUUUUUUCGUUUUUUAUUUGUUGCUGGCUGGUUUGGCUGUUAUCAGUCUCUGUUCUCUUCCCUCUUCCGAUGUUUCGUCACGGUCGUGGUGGUUGUGGUGAUGGCGUCGCCGUCGGUGUCGAUUGACGCGCAUAUUCAGGUUUGCCGCCGUCUUUUGUGUAUGUCUGUUUUGUUUUGUUUUCUUGCUCCCCGUCUUUUGUAUUUAUUCUGGGUGUGUGGCGUGGCCCCCCCCCCCUACCCACCCGCCCCCACACCUUCUGUUCCUCUCGUUUCAUUUUUUUUUUUGCUUUGUUGUUGGUUGGCUGGUUUCGCUCCUGCUCUCUUGGUCCAAGACAAGCUGGCAGAGGGAGGGAGGGAGGGAGGGAGAGAGCCGGGAGGACAGAAGAGAGGGCAGGAAAGCAAAUCGAAAGCGUGCAAGGCGACCGGAGGAUAACGGAGAAACAAAUCCACAUCCCACCACACCUACAAGCACACACGCGCGCGCGCGAACAGCCGCCAACAAAAAAAAGCAGACGUCUAUGCACAGCAGGGGUGGCACGCGGACUUUUUUGUGUGUAGCCAUUAUCCUUCUUGUAGCGCCACCUGGUGCUCUGCUGUAUCUCAGAAGUCGGUGAUACGCGUGUGCGCGGAGGAGCGAGCGAAAGUAGCAAGAGGAAGGAGACCGUGUGGCGGAGAAGGGGGAGGUGUUGUUGCGGUGCGGGUAGUCACCUGCGCAUCGGAAAGGAAGACACUUUGCAGGUACUCCUGCUCCCACUCAUAUCACAUCCCCCACCUCAACUGUUCGGUGUCACGCCACAUUCACGCACACAAGUGCAUGCGUUCACCGACAACCCCUUCGCGCCUGCCACGUUUUUUUUUUCUUUAUUCCCUGUCUUGCUCUCUCCCUUUCCACUAGUCUACUCGUUCGUUAUCUCUCAACAAGUUUGUUCUGUGUGUGUGUGUGUGUGUUUACUUUUAUGUUGAGCUCUCGUGGUGCGCUUCUUGGAGGGUUGGACUUGAAUGAUGUGUGAUUCUCUGUGUCGCAUUGGCGUUUGUGCCUGGUAGUGGUGUGGCGAGCGCUGCGCUCGUGCCGUUCGAUGUUGUUUUUGUCGUUGUUUUGUUUUGUUUUUGGCCCCUCUCUCCCUCUUCAUCUUCUUUGGUUGUGUCCUUUCCAGUUGUUGGUUUCCUGUACGAAGGUUUCUUUCAUUGCCCCACCCGCUGUCUUUGUGGGUUUUCGUGUGCUUUUUACCGUCCUCUGCGCUGCUCAUCUGUUUCCACUGCGCCCGCUGUUAUGAGUAUGUGGUGUGGGGUUUGGGGGGCGGCACAUUGGGUGCCCCGUCAUGCGAAUCAGAAGGAGAGGUGCGCGAAGGAAACAAAAGGAAAGCAGCAGCGCGCACAACGCAAAGCAGUCGAGCAUUUCAUGCCACGUCGCAGGGGUCGUAGCGAGUGGGUGUCCCUGAAGCACAACUGCAAAGAACUUUCAAAAAAAAAUUAAUGCGGAGCAAACGUACUCACAACGAACAGGCGGAACGUCCGGCUCACCUUCGCGCACGAUGUGGAGUGGGCGAGAACGAUGAUGAUGGUGCGCUGGGGCGAUUAGGGCAAGCUCACAUGGGUCGCA